Molecule: long non-coding RNA, 439 nt
Organism: Pseudophryne corroboree (corroboree frog)
Lineage: Eukaryota; Metazoa; Chordata; Amphibia; Anura; Myobatrachidae
Exons: 2
Source: RefSeq, a predicted model, not a curated record
AUUUUGGAAGGAAUGCUUACAAUUGAUGCUUUCAGCGUCCUCCCCUCCUGUGACAGAGUCAGGUCUCGGCACGAAAAGGGGGUGGAGCAGAGCGGCGGGCGGACAGAUGGCGGUAUGAGCGGCCCGGGCCCUCUCUUCUCUGUUGGCGGGCUUGCUGCCAUGCUGACAAGCACUGUCGUUUACCUGAAGAGAAACAUGACCCAUGCCCUUGUGAAACCGAACGUACCUGUGAGAAUCGACACGUGCCCAUCGCAUGCAUUAAGAAUUGCAGGCUCCCUAAUAAAUGUCGGUGUAAAGAGGACCAUGUCCGCAACAAAGCGGGACUCUGUGUAAAACCGGACCAUUGUUUCCACUUUUAGGAGAGAAAUGAUAUAGAUGUACAUACCUGCUGUCAUAUGCUGUGUAUUAUCUUCCCAUUAUAAUAAAGCAAAAAAUCCUU